This 253-nucleotide ribosomal RNA is filed under the name uncultured bacterium. RNAcentral's name for it is "partial 16S ribosomal RNA". It matches the Rfam family "Bacterial small subunit ribosomal RNA", at positions 524 to 776 of the family's 1533-position model. The record is from RNAcentral.
UACGUAGGUGGCGAGCGUUGUCCGGAAUUACUGGGUGUAAAGGGCGUGUAGGCGGGCUAUUAAGUCAGGUGUGAAAUACCGCAGCUCAACUGCGGGGUGGCACUUGAUACUGGCAGUCUUGAGGGCAGGAGAGGGAAGUGGAAUUCCUGGUGUAGCGGUGAAAUGCGUAGAUAUCAGGAGGAACACCAGUGGCGAAGGCGGCUUCCUGGACUGACCCUGACGCUGAGACGCGAAAGCGUGGGGAGCAAACAGG